UCACUUAGGAAGCACAUAUCCUAAAGUUGGAAUUAUACAGAGAAGAUUAACACGGCCCCUUCAUAAAGAUGACAUGAAAAUUCACAAAGGUUUCCAGACAUUU
Molecule: small nuclear RNA, 103 nt
Organism: Gracilinanus agilis (Agile Gracile Mouse Opossum)
Lineage: Eukaryota; Metazoa; Chordata; Mammalia; Didelphimorphia; Didelphidae
Source: RefSeq, a predicted model, not a curated record